RNAcentral lists this ribosomal RNA (324 nucleotides) under Blepharisma japonicum. Its description in RNAcentral is "partial Bacterial small subunit ribosomal RNA". It matches the Rfam family "Bacterial small subunit ribosomal RNA", at positions 1 to 357 of the family's 1533-position model. The record is from RNAcentral. Lineage: Eukaryota; Ciliophora; Heterotrichea; Heterotrichida; Blepharismidae.
UUGAGAGUUUGAUCCUGGCUCAGAACGAACGCUGGCGGCAGGCUUAACACAUGCAAGUCGAACGAGAUCUUCGGAUCUAGUGGCAGACGGGUGAGGAACACGUGGGAACAUCCCUUUCAGUUCGGAAUAACGUUGGGAAACUAACGCUAAUACCGGAUACGUCCUUCGGGAGAAAGAUUUAUCGCUGAAAGAUUGGCCCGCGUCUGAUUAGCUAGUUGGUGAGGUAAUGGCUCACCAAGGCUACGAUCAGUAGCUGAUCUGAGAGGAUGAUCAGCCACAUUGGGACUGAGACACGGCCCAAACUCCUACGGGAGGCAGCAGUGG